This 485-nucleotide ribosomal RNA is filed under the name uncultured bacterium. RNAcentral's name for it is "partial 16S ribosomal RNA". It matches the Rfam family "Bacterial small subunit ribosomal RNA", at positions 30 to 523 of the family's 1533-position model. The record is from RNAcentral.
AUUGAACGCUGGCGGCGUGCUUAACACAUGCAAGUCGAACGAGAACGGAUUAUAGCUUGCUAUAAUUGUCAGCUAAGUGGCGCACGGGUGAGUAAUGUAUAGAUAACCUGCCCUCUAGAAAGGAAUAACAGUUGGAAACGACUGCUAAUGCCCUAUAUGCCUUUAAUACAUAAGUAUGCAAGGGAAACGCUUUAGUGCUAGAGGAUGGGUCUGUAUGGUAUCAGCUUGUUGGUGAGGUAAUGGCUCACCAAGGCUAUGACGCCUAACUGGUUUGGGAGGAUGAUCAGUCACACUGGAACUGAGACACGGUCCAGAAUCCGACGGGAGGCAGCAGUGGGGAAUAUUGCACAAUGGACGAAAGUCUGAUGCAGCAACGCCGCGUGGAGGAUGACACAUUUCGGUGCGUAAACUCCUUUUAUAUAGGAAGAUAAUGACGGUACUAUAUGAAUAAGCACCGGCUAACUCCGUGCCAGCAGCCGCGGUAA